RNAcentral lists this ribosomal RNA (360 nucleotides) under Triticum aestivum (bread wheat). Its description in RNAcentral is "partial small subunit ribosomal RNA". The record is from RNAcentral. Lineage: Eukaryota; Viridiplantae; Streptophyta; Magnoliopsida; Poales; Poaceae.
AUGAUUGCGACGAGGGCGAGACGUUGCUGCGACCGUGACCGCAACCGGUGGAGCGAGGCGCCAGUGAUCGUGUUUUCCGCUGGUGUUUUUGAUCUGCCGUGCUCGGUUUUUGGCAGCUUCGAUCCAAUUGAUCCCCUCCAGAAGCAUUCAGGCGUCCAGAGGUUCAACUGCGUGGGUAGGAGCUCGGCCACUGAAUGCAGGCGUCCAGAGGUUCAACUGCGUGGGCAGGAGCUCGGCUGGUUUGCUUAUAUGCAUUUUUUUCUUCAACAUUGGAUUAUUUUGACCUUGCACGCUUCUGAUGGGGAAGAAAAAAGUGACUUGUCCCUAUGGAGACAAUGGAUCUCCUCUGUAUCAAGGUGA